RNAcentral lists this ribosomal RNA (91 nucleotides) under Nannospalax galili (Upper Galilee mountains blind mole rat). The record is from RNAcentral. Lineage: Eukaryota; Metazoa; Chordata; Mammalia; Rodentia; Spalacidae.
AGUCCAAUCCAUACCAUCCCGAACCUGACCAAUCCUGUCUGAUCUUAGAAGCAAAACAGAACUGGGCCUGGUUAGCAGGUGGGUGGGGGGA